UUCCGGUUGAUCCUGCCGGAGGACAUUGCUAUUGGGAUUCGAUUUAGCCAUGCUAGUCGAACGAGUUUAGACUCGUGGCAGAUAGCUCAGUAACACGUGGCCAAGCUACCCUUCAGUCGGCAAUACCCUCGGGAAACUGAGGCUAAUGGCCGAUGUGGGACGCCUGCUGGAAUGCGGCGUUCUCUAAAGAUCACGCUGAAGGAUGCGGCUGCGGCCGAUUAGGUUGACGGUGGGGUAACGGCCCACCGUGCCAGUAAUCGGUACGGGUGAUGAGAGUCAGAGCCCGGAGACGGAAUCUGAGACAAGAUUCCGGGCCCUACGGGGCGCAGCAGGCGCGAAACCUCUACACUGCACGAAAGUGCGAUAGGGGAAUCCCAAGUGCGAGGGCAUAUUAGCCCUCGCUUUUGUCGACUCUAAGGUGGUCGACGAAUAAGAGCUGGGCAAGACCGGCGCCAGCCGCCGCGGUAAUACCGGCAGCUCGAGUGAUGUCCAAUAUUAUUGGGCCUAAAGCGUCCGUAGCUGGCCGCGCAAGUCCGUCGGGAAAUCCACCUGCCCAACAGGUGGGCGUCCGGCGGAAACUGCGUGGCUUGGAACCGGAAGGCUCAGAGGGUACGUCCGGGGUAGGAGUGAAAUCCCGUAAUCCCGGACGGACCACCGAUGGCGAAAGCACUCUGAGAAGACGGCUUCGACAGUGAGGGACGAAAGCUAGGGUCUCAAACCGGAUUAGAUACCCGGGUAGUCCUAGCUGUAAACGAUGCUCGUUAGGUGUGACACCCACUACGAGUGGGUGCUGUGCCGCAGGGAAGCCGCUAAACGAGCCGCCUGGGAAGUACGUCCGCAAGGAUGAGACUUAGAGGAAUUGGCGGGGGAGCACUACAACCGGAGGAGCCUGCGGUUUAAUUGGACUCAACGCCGGG
Molecule: ribosomal RNA, 917 nt
Filed under: uncultured archaeon
Lineage: Archaea
Description: bacterial SSU rRNA
Rfam family: Archaeal small subunit ribosomal RNA
Source: RNAcentral